GAUGAACGCUGGCGGCGUGCCUAAUACAUGCAAGUCGAGCGAACGGACGAGAAGCUUGCUUCUCUGAUGUUAGCGGCGGACGGGUGAGUAACACGUGGAUAACCUACCUAUAAGACUGGGACAACUUCGGGAAACCGGAGCUAAUACCGGAUAAUAUUUUGAACCGCAUGGUUCAAAAGUGAAAGACGGUCUUGCUGUCACUUAUAGAUGGAUCUGCGCUGCAUUAGCUAGUUGGUAAGGUAACGGCUUACCAAGGCAACGAUGCAUAGCCGACCUGAGAGGGUGAUCGGCCACACUGGAACUGAGACACGGUCCAGACUCCUACGGGAGGCAGCAGUAGGGAAUCUUCCGCAAUGGGCGAAAGCCUGACGGAGCAACGCCGCGUGAGUGAUGAAGGUCUUCGGAUCGUAAAACUCUGUUAUUAGGGAAGAACAUAUGUGUAAGUAACUGUGCACAUCUUGACGGUACCUAAUCAGAAAGCCACGGCUAACUACGUG
RNAcentral lists this ribosomal RNA (497 nucleotides) under uncultured bacterium. RNAcentral describes it as "partial 16S ribosomal RNA". It matches the Rfam family "Bacterial small subunit ribosomal RNA", at positions 28 to 507 of the family's 1533-position model. The record is from RNAcentral.